Molecule: transfer RNA, 74 nt
Filed under: Staphylococcus felis
Lineage: Bacteria; Bacillati; Bacillota; Bacilli; Caryophanales; Staphylococcaceae
Description: tRNA-Met
Rfam family: tRNA
About the family: Transfer RNA (tRNA) molecules are approximately 80 nucleotides in length. Their secondary structure includes four short double-helical elements and three loops (D, anti-codon, and T loops). Further hydrogen bonds mediate the characteristic L-shaped molecular structure. tRNAs have two regions of fundamental functional importance: the anti-codon, which is responsible for specific mRNA codon recognition, and the 3' end, to which the tRNAs corresponding amino acid is attached (by aminoacyl-tRNA synthetases). tRNAs cope with the degeneracy of the genetic code in two manners: having more than one tRNA (with a specific anti-codon) for a particular amino acid; and 'wobble' base-pairing, i.e. permitting non-standard base-pairing at the 3rd anti-codon position.
Source: RNAcentral
CGCGGGAUAGAGCAGUGCGGUAGCUCGUCGGGCUCAUAACCCGGAGGUCGGUGGUUCAAAUCCGCCUCCCGCUA